UGGAACGUUGGUAUUGCUCACUGUGGUUUCCUUGAUGUCAAACUUUUGGAUAAAGCAGAGCAUUUCUAGCCAUACCCUUAAGGUUUAGUCAGUACUAUGGCUGAGAAGAAGAAUAAAACAGAAAACAAGGAAAAAACAAGGAAGGAUGGAAUUCAAUGACACAAAUUUCAUGUGAAAGAACCUUGAGUUGAUUUGUUGUGCUUUGUUUAUAUGCUUCUCGGUUAUAAGCAAAAGCUGAUGUAAGAUCAUCUUUAAUGAUCCUUGUUUGUAAUUAAAAUUUUAGUCUUC
Molecule: long non-coding RNA, 288 nt
Organism: Pomacea canaliculata
Lineage: Eukaryota; Metazoa; Mollusca; Gastropoda; Architaenioglossa; Ampullariidae
Exons: 2
Source: RefSeq, a predicted model, not a curated record